AGCUCCAAUAGCGUAUAUUAAAGUUGUUGCGGUUAAAAAGCUCGUAGUUGGAGUUCUGCCAGGUGACGCUCGUCCGCCCAAGUGGUGUGUACAGGGCGUGCAUCUGGCCCUUUCAAGGGGAACGUGUUGCACUUUAUUGUGUGGCGCGAGAUCCUUGACUUUUACUUUGAGGAAAUUAGAGUGUUUCAAGCAGGCACACGCCUUGAAUACAUUAGCAUGGAAUAAUAAUCUAGGACCCCGGUUCUAUUUUGUUGGUUUCUAGAGCUGAGGUAAUGAUUAAUAGGGAUAGUUGGGGGCAUUCGUAUUUAACUGUCAGAGGUGAAAUUCUUGGAUUUGUUAAAGACGGACUACUGUCGAAAGCAUUUGCCAAGGAUGUUUUCA
RNAcentral lists this ribosomal RNA (381 nucleotides) under uncultured eukaryote. RNAcentral describes it as "SSU rRNA". It matches the Rfam family "Eukaryotic small subunit ribosomal RNA", at positions 587 to 972 of the family's 1831-position model. The record is from RNAcentral.